GUUAGGCACCCCCCUUGGCACACCUAUGGCAUCAAUAUACACAUGGGGGUCGAAGCUCCCUCGGAUAGGAGCCUCUCGUUUGGUUCUAGAGUGUGUAUGUGUGAAAUUUAACGUGUUAUGACUACCAUCUGGAAUAAUGUGGAUAGGCAUUAUGACUUUGGUUAGGGCACACUCCCCCCACCAUUGCCCAGUUAAUUGGGACCUCAAUUGUUUGUCACCACAUAACCAAUAGAUAUCCCCAAUUGUCUUUGUGUGGUUCAUUAGUAGUGAUGCAGGUGGAUUAUGGUAAGUUGAGCAGUAUCCUGAUGGGAAUUUGCCCAGAUAUAACCCAGUGUUCUUAGGUAUUGAAUAGCAUGUGUAAUUACCUGGGUAGAUGGUGACUCCAUCAGGUGGUUUCACAUGUCCAUGAGUGAUUG
This 416-nucleotide long non-coding RNA is filed under the name Pelobates cultripes (western spadefoot toad). Lineage: Eukaryota; Metazoa; Chordata; Amphibia; Anura; Pelobatidae. The record is from RNAcentral.